Molecule: ribosomal RNA, 75 nt
Filed under: Vibrio splendidus
Lineage: Bacteria; Pseudomonadati; Pseudomonadota; Gammaproteobacteria; Vibrionales; Vibrionaceae
Also listed under: 7 other names
Description: partial 16S ribosomal RNA
Rfam family: Bacterial small subunit ribosomal RNA
Source: RNAcentral
ACUUUGUGGUUCAUGACUGGGGUGAAGUCGUAACAAGGUAGCCCUAGGGGAACCUGGGGCUGGAUCACCUCCUUA